Molecule: ribosomal RNA, 274 nt
Filed under: uncultured bacterium
Lineage: Bacteria
Description: partial 16S ribosomal RNA
Rfam family: Bacterial small subunit ribosomal RNA
Source: RNAcentral
AUACGGAGGGUGCAAGCGUUACUCGGAAUCACUGGGCGUAAAGCGCGCGUAGGCGGGUUGGCAAGUCAGAUGUGAAAUCCUACAGCUUAACUGUAGAACUGCAUUUGAAACUGCUAACCUAGAGUAUGGGAGGGGGAGAUGGAAUUAGUGGUGUAGGGGUAAAAUCCGUAGAUAUCACUAGGAAUACCGAAAGCGAAGGCGAUCUCCUGGAACAUAACUGACGCUGAGGCGUGAAAGCGUGGGGAGCAAACAGGAUUAGAAACCCUAGUAGUCC